AACUCAGUUGGUAGAGCAUGGUGUUUGCAACGCCAGGGUUGUGGGUUCGAUUCCCAC
Molecule: non-coding RNA, 57 nt
Organism: Salmo salar (Atlantic salmon)
Lineage: Eukaryota; Metazoa; Chordata; Actinopteri; Salmoniformes; Salmonidae
Source: Rfam